GUACGUCCACAGUACACCGGGCCCGUUGCUCGCUCCCCUCGGGCUCACACGACAGUACGACACGACGCGGCGAGAGCAACGGUGAAAGCGAACAGGCGCAUACAUUGACCACAGAAGGUACAACUCGUGUUGUACACCACAUGAAUGUGAGUACUUGCAGUAACGCCGCAUCAGUUUCACCUCCGAUCUCCAUCCCCAGGUACAGGACCCGUCGCUUCCCAUGCC
Molecule: long non-coding RNA, 225 nt
Filed under: Sorghum bicolor (sorghum)
Lineage: Eukaryota; Viridiplantae; Streptophyta; Magnoliopsida; Poales; Poaceae
Description: long non-coding RNA (SBIC_LNC007350)
Source: RNAcentral